CAAUCACCAACCAACCAACCAAUCACCAACCAACUAAUCACCAACCAACCAAUCACCAAUCAACCAAUCAACCAAGACAAGGCCGAUAUUUUAGCCAAAAUGCUGUAUUUAUUGAAUUUACAGUGAUACAGUUGAUAUUAUUUCUCCAGAUAAUAAACAGGAUUACAUCCUGAUGUAGCACAGUAUUAUUCUCUUUGACAAGGCAAUCAGUCAUUUCUACAUUCAGUGUCAACAAACUCUGAGCCCCAAAUGGCACCCUAUUCCCUAUGUAGGGCACUACUUUAGACUAGAGUCAUAUGGACCCUGGUCUAUAUAGGGAGAAGGGUGUCAUUUGGGAUGGAUCCUACAGUAUCCCUCUCUCUCUAACUCUCUCUUUCUUAAGUGGCUUGGGGCUCAGAGAGAAACUCUUAAAGGGGGGAGAAGGGCAGAGGGAUGAGGGGUGGAGGGAUGGAGGGAUGGGGUGGAGGGAUGGCAGGACAGAAGGGUGGAGGCAUGGAGGGAGAGAAGGGUGGAGGCAUGGAGGGAGAGAAGGGUGGAGGCAUGGAGGGGUGGAGGGAUGGAGAGAAGGAUGGAGGGAUGGAGCGAGAGAAGGAUGGAGGAUGGAGAGAUGGAGGGAGAGAAGGGUGGAGGGAUGUAUGUAAGACAGGAUGACAGUCGACAGCCUUAAAUAAGGCCUGAGGGGAGGAAAGGAAAAGAGUUGCCACACAGUCUACAGUGUGUGGAGAGAAAUGUGAAGCUAGCCCUCUAUGCGAAACUGAAUAAGCCCCCAGGCUGAGUCUCCCGGGUAGGAAAUUGGCUAACAGUGUUAGCGAGCCAAGAGCAACCUUCUGGCUUGGUCUUUAUGUUUCAUUUAGAUCUUAUUUGCUACAUGCACACAAAGUCAAUGGAACUCUUCAGCACGUUUUACAUAGAACCACUGGCCGUGUUCUAGAACUUCUAGUGUUCUACAGUAGAAUUCUCUGGCUGUGUUCUAGAACAUAGUAGAGUCACCUAGCUAGCUAAUACAGUGGUUCUCAAUCCUGGUCCUGGGGACCCAAAGGGGGACACAUUUCUGUUUUUGCUCUAGCACUACACACCUGAUUCAAAUCAUCCAAGCUUGAUGAUCAGUUGAUCAUUUUAAAAUCAGCAAAAACUAAAAUGUGUCCCCCUUCGGGACCCCAGGACCAGGAUUGAGAACCACUGAUUGAACAGAUAAGGUGACACUAUAAACUAUUUAAAAAGUGGAAUAAAAACAGGGUGAUGAAAGUGCAAUCACUUUAAAAAUGAUUAAAAACUUAAAACUCAGCGUUUAAAAAUACUUUAAAAAAACAUUCUCAUCAGAACAAGUGUGUUAAACAUACUGGUCUGUUUCUCAGAGCAAUAUAGACCAGAUUACUACUGAGAUCAUUGUACACACACUCAUCAAAUCAAACUAAUAUUUUAUGCCCAAACUAAUGCUCCGAUGUACAUAAAUAGAUAUAAAUUGGGAUAUUAUAAAGACAACUUUUCAGGUCCCAAAGCACCCUGGAACUUUAACUUAAAAAAGUGGUCUUCUCCCCUAUAGUACCCUAGCAAUGGUCCUGUGAACCAUACAUAAAACACGGAGCAUUCAACACGGAAAAUGUUAAAAAACUUACAAAUUCACCCUCACAACCAAAAGAGUUGUACCCCCCCAACCUGACUAUCAAUUAUCACAAAAAAAAGGUACAUUUCUUCUUAUUUUUUUAUUACAAGUCUUAGAAUGUUAAAAUAAACAAUGAUGGUGAAUAUACACAUUGAGGGGGACAUUAAACCAAGAUGGACAGGCAGCAAGCGUCAGCGGUGGAGGAGAGGAAGGGGGACGAGAGGUGAGGAAGGGGGAUGAGAGGUGAGGAAGAGGGAGGCAGCAAGCGUCAGCGGUGGAGGAGAGGAAGGGGGACGAGAGGUGAGGUAGAGGGAGGAGAGGGAGGCAGCAAGCGUCAGCGGUGGAGGAGAGGAAGGGGGACGAGAGGUGAGGAAGAGGGAGGCAGCAAGCGUCAGCGGUGGAGGAGAGGAAGGGGGACGAGAGGUGAGGAAGAGGGAGGCAGCAAGCGUCAGCGGUGGAGGAGAGGAAGGGGGACGAGAGGUGAGGAAGAGGGAGGAGAGGAAGGCAGCAAGCGUCAGCGGUGGAGGAGAGGAAGGGGGACGAGAGGUGAGGAAGAGGGAGGAGAGGGAGGCAGCAAGCAUCAGCGGUGGAGGAGAGGAAGGGGGACGAGAGGUGAGGAAGAGGGAGGAGAGGGAGGCAGCAAGCAUCAGCGGUGGAGGAGAGGAAGGGGGACGAGAGGUGAGGAAGGGGGAUGAGAGGUGAGGAAGGGGGAUGAGAGGUGAGGAAGAGGGAUGAGAGGUGAGGAAGGAGAGGAAGAGAGGUGAGGAAGGAGAGGAAGAGAGGUGAGGAAGGAGAGGAAGAGAGGUGAGGAAGGGGGACAAGAGGCGAGGAAGGGGGACAAGAGGUGAGGAAGGGGGACAAGAGGUGAGGAAGGGGGACAAGAGGUGAGGAAGGAGAGGAAGAGAGAGGCAGCAAGUGUCAGCGGUGGAGGAGAGGUGAAAAAGGGGGAGGAGAGGUGAGGAAGGGGGACAAGAGGUGAGGAAGAGGGAGGAGAGGUGAGGAAGAGGGAGGAGAGGUGAGGAAGGGGGAUGAGAGGUGAGGAAGGGGGAUGAGAGGUGAGGAAGGGGGAUGAGAGGUGAGGAAGAAGAGGAAGAGAGGUGAGGAAGAGGGAGGAGAGGUGAGGAAGAGGGAGGAGAGGUGAGGAAGGGGGAUGAGAGGUGAGGAAGGGGGAGGAGAGGUGAGGAAGAGGGAGGAGAGGUGAGGAAGAGGGAGGAGAGGUGAGGAAGGGGGAUGAGAGGUGAGGAAGGAGAGGAAGAGAGGUGAGGAAGAGGGGAGGAGAGGUGAGGAAGGGGGAGGAGAGGUGAGGAAGGGGGAUGAGAGGUGAGGAAGGGGGAGGAGAGGUGAGGAAGGGGGAGGAGAGGUGAGGAAGGGGGAUGAGAGGUGAGGAAGGGGGACAAGAGGUGAGGAAGAGGGAGGAGAGGUGAGGAAGAGGGAGGAGAGGUGAGGAAGAGGGAUGAGAGGUGAGGAAGAGGGAUGAGAGGUGAGGAAGGGGGACAAGAGGUGAGGAAGAGGGAGGAGAGGUGAGGAAGAGGGAGGAGAGGUGAGGAAGAGGGAGGAGAGGUGAGGAAGGAGAGGAAGAGAGAGGCAGCAAGUGUCAGUGGUGAAAGAGAGGUGAAAAAGGGGGAGGAAGGUGAGGACAGAAAGAUUCCAAAAUGUCUUUCACUUCUAGAACAUCUCAAACACUUCCCCUGCUUCCACUAUGCCUCUUCCUCCUCUCCAUCCCUCCUUCCUGUCCAGGGACACCUUUAGUCAGUAGUACAGGUCAUGUAAAAUGACAACAACAUAGAAAUACAUUUACAGAUUAAUAAUACUAACAAUAUUAUAGCCACAGAAUAUUCUACAUGUACAGAUAACGUCUGCAUCCCAAAUGUAACCUAUUCCCUAUAUAGUGCACUACUUUUGGCCAGAGCCCAUAUAGAAAAGGGUGAAGGGUUUGGGACAUAGACCAACUUGUGACCAGUUCACAAGCAAAAACCAAACAAGGUGGUAAAGAAAUAGAUUGUUUUCAUACAGAAGAUAGAUGUUGGUAUGAUGUGACUGCUGGUUUCUUCUUGACACACACACACACACACACACACACACACACACACACACACACACCUGCCUUCUCACUUUCCCUUACAGCAUGUGUGUGUUUGCAGGUAGAUGAGAAGAAAGAAUGAAAGAGAGAGGGAAUGAAAGAGAGAGGUUGCAGUGUCCCUUGGUUUGUAGCUGUGCAACAGAGGCCGAAGGGAAAGAUGCCCACCUGUCAAGUCCACCUUUAAUUUAGACCUGGCACCAAGAGAAAGAGAGAGAGGAGGGAGAGAGACGGACCGACGGGGGGGAUUAGAGUGAGGCGAGGACAGAUACAGGGAAAGAGGAGGAGGGGGAAAAAAAAACUCUCCCUCUCUCUCUCGUUGGCUGUGAGCUUCACUGUAGCAGAGAUAGUAGAGAUGAGAACAGCUUAGAGACCAAAAAGCAGCCGUCAAUCCCCGGAGAUUAACACACACACACACGCGAUUUAAAAAUAAAUAAUAAUAUAGAAUCUGUAUAUGGUCUCCUAACCCAUCUCUCUAAUGACAACUGAACAGGAGGGAGGCAGAGGAUUAUUUUAGGUACUUAUUGACUUAAUCAGCAUCCCAAGUAGAACCCUACAUAGUGCACUACUUUUAUCCAGGGCACAUAGGGAUCUGGUCAAACGUAGUGCACUAUAUAGGGAAUAGGCUGCCAUUUGAGACACAUCCUUAGCCAAUACUACAGGGAACUAGACUGGCCCUAAAACCAACAGAGAGAGAGAGUUAGAGAGUUAGAGAGAGAGAGAGAGAGAGAGAGAGAGAGAGAGAGAGAGAGAGAGAGACAGAGACAGACAGAGACAGAGACAGACAGAGAGAGAGAGAGAGAGACAGAGAGACAGAGACAGAGAGAGAGAGAGAGAGAGAGAGACAGAGACAGACAGAGACAGAGACAGAGAGAGAGAGAGCGUACUGUACUUGUCUGUGUUUGUUGCGUGGUUCCUAGAAAACCACGGCCGGAGCAGUGCAUCACACACACAGAGUUGAUUAUAGUCCACAUAUGGGCAGACCCUGCCCCCACACCAGCGCAGGAUGUCAAUUGGAUGACUACAGGGGUCAGAGGUCAAUAACUCAUCCUGACCAAUGAUAGCUUGCUGUGUCUGUGACGUUAUUUCCACAUCAUCCCUCUUUCAUUAACGCUCUCUGUUCGUCCAUCCAUCAAUCCAUCCAUCCAUCCAUCCAUCCAUCCAUCCAUCCAAUGAAUGUAUCCCCCAGCCGCAGAUCAGGGGAUUAGUAUCUUAGCUAUUAUAUCAUGCAGCGUUAGCAUCAUGCUACACUAGCUCGGAGCUAGCGCUGCCCACAACUUCCUUCUGUAAACGUGGAACAUUUCAUUGUCUAGCCAACAGCAGAGAAUCUCAGUGAUAGAGGGGUAAACCACUCACUACCGCCGACACAACACCCCCAUCUGGCAGUCCAAUCUGUGUACUGCACCUCAACACAGACAGCCAAGAGUGUCGCAAAUGUUUUUGGUGCUGAGAUUCACUUUUUGGCUUUUCCUGACCCUCCAAUCUCGAAAGUCAAAACAUCGCCAACCAUUCAGAUAGUCCAAACAGAAACUACUCCAAGUUGAACCACCAGCUUUAAAUGUGGGACAGAUAGUGGUUAAGAGAAGCUACACUUUUAGUUUUGGGACAGAUAGUGGUUAAGAGAAGCUACACUUUUAGUUUUGGGACAGAUAGUGGUUAAGAGAAGCUACACUUUUAGUUUUGGGACAGAUAGUGGUUAAGAGAAGCU
Molecule: long non-coding RNA, 5388 nt
Filed under: Salmo salar (Atlantic salmon)
Lineage: Eukaryota; Metazoa; Chordata; Actinopteri; Salmoniformes; Salmonidae
Description: lncRNA (ENSSSAG00000109603.1)
Source: RNAcentral